CCUACGGGAGGCAGCAGUGGGGAAUAUUGCACAAUGGGGGAAACCCUGAUGCAGCGACGCAGCGUGGGUGAAGAAGCGCCUCGGCGCGUAAAGCCCUGUCAGCAGGGAAGAAAAUCACGGUACCUGAAGAAGAAGCCCCGGCUAACUACGUGCCAGCAGCCGCGGUAAUACGUCGGGGGCAAGCGUUAUCCGGAUUUACUGGGCGUAAAGGGGGCGCAGACGGCGAUGCAAGCCAGGAGUGAAAGCCCGGGGGCCAACCCCGGGACUGCUCUUGGAACUGCGUGGCUAGAGUGCAGGAGGGGCAGGCGGAAUUCGUGGUGUAGCGGUGAAAUGCGUAGAUAUCAGGAGGAACACCGAUGGCGAAGGCGGCCUGCUGGACUGCAACUGACGUUGAGGCCCGAAAGCGUGGGGAGCAAACAGGAUUAGAUACCCGUGUAGUC
This 440-nucleotide ribosomal RNA is filed under the name uncultured bacterium. RNAcentral's name for it is "partial 16S ribosomal RNA". It matches the Rfam family "Bacterial small subunit ribosomal RNA", at positions 338 to 795 of the family's 1533-position model. The record is from RNAcentral.